UACGUAGGGGGCAAGCGUUGUCCGGAAUCAUUGGGCGUAAAGCGCGUGUAGGCGGCCCGAUAAGUCCGCUGUGAAAGUCCAGGGCUCAACCCUGGGAUGCCGGUGGAUACUGUCGGGCUCGAGUCCGGAAGAGGAGUGUGGAAUUCCUGGUGUAGCGGUGAAAUGCGCAGAUAUCAGGAGGAACACCAAUGGCGAAGGCAGCACUCUGGG
RNAcentral lists this ribosomal RNA (210 nucleotides) under uncultured bacterium. RNAcentral's name for it is "partial 16S ribosomal RNA". It matches the Rfam family "Bacterial small subunit ribosomal RNA", at positions 524 to 733 of the family's 1533-position model. The record is from RNAcentral.